GGCUGAGGGUGAGAUUCCCUUCUCCACAGCCUCAGGUUUGUAUCUGUCACAUGUUUUGGGACAUGGCUGCAGGAUUUCAGGCCAUCUUCUCUGUGCUCUUUUUGCCUGCCUGAAUCUGGAAGCUGCACAUGUUCUGAGACUUCUGAACUGCUCUCGUUUGGCAUGGACUCCAGGGAUCUGCUUUGCCAAGCACAGCACCUUGCUGAGGGAGACCUCUGUGAGAAUUCCAGGCUCCCAGCUUGGGAGCAAUUUUGUGAUGGGAAUUAGAUGGGAAUGAAAGUAGCUAGAAAGCAUGGAAGGGAUGGCAUCAUGGCUGAUAGGUGAGAAGGAAUCCCAGGAGAAACAGAAAAGCCUAAAAAUAAUCACCAGACAAGAAAAAUUAGAGAAGCUUAGGAAAAGUAUUUUUGCA
RNAcentral lists this long non-coding RNA (409 nucleotides) under Serinus canaria (Common canary). Its description in RNAcentral is "lncRNA (ENSSCAG00000003210.1)". The record is from RNAcentral. Lineage: Eukaryota; Metazoa; Chordata; Aves; Passeriformes; Fringillidae.